UCCCUCAGCCUCCUGAGCCUCUGGGAUUACAGGCGUGCACCAGGGCACCCAUUUCCUUAAGUUAAAUUUGUUUGGUAUUUUGGUCACAGUGAUGAAGAGCUGAUGAAUACAACUGACCUUCAACUUCCUGCUGUGGUCCUCCUCCCAGGCUCCAGGAAAGAACCUAGUGCCCACAGUAUCUUCUUUUAAAUUUAUGUAUCAACUGGGUUUGUCACUUGCUAGUAAAGAAUCCUUGAGAACAGGGUCUCAUGAGAUUUUACAGAGUGAUGCCACCUCAAAUAACUCAUUACUCUUCUGAGGCUUCCUGAUAUCUGCAAAUGGGUCCAUUGAGCAGGGAGAGUCACAGGAACCAGCUCACAAGGCUGCACUUCAGAUAGGUGUUGGUGGUGCAUACCAGAGCCACCCUCCCAGGGACUAGGCAGGUAUGUUCUUUCUGUGAGUAGGUACAAGUGAAGCUGCAACAGCACUAGAAGCUUACUCUGUUAUUCAGCUUCCCGUUAUUAUAACAAAAUACUGAGGAUAACCAAUUUAUAAGGAGGAAAUGUUUAUUUUGGCUCAAGGUUUCAGUCCGUGGUAGUUAUAUAACUACCAUGGUAGGAGUGUGUGGUGGAGGAAUUGCUCACUUCAAGGCAACUGGGAAGCAAAAAGAGCAAGAGGAGGA
Molecule: long non-coding RNA, 661 nt
Filed under: Marmota monax (woodchuck)
Lineage: Eukaryota; Metazoa; Chordata; Mammalia; Rodentia; Sciuridae
Source: RNAcentral